AGGACGAACGCUGGCGGCGUGCCUAACACAUGCAAGUCGAACGAAGCACUUCAAAUGAGAUUCGUCAAGUUUGGAUUUGACUUAGUGGCGGACGGGUGAGUAAUACAUGAGCAACCUGCCCUGGAGUGGGGAACAACAGUUGGAAACGACUGCUAAUACCGCAUAAUGUUGCCGGAGGGCAUCCUCUGGCAACCAAAGAUUUAUCGCUUUGGGAUGGGCUCAUGUCUGAUUAGCUAGUUGGUGGGGUAACGGCCCACCAAGGCUGCGAUCAGUAGCCGGACUGAGAGGUUGAACGGCCACAUUGGGACUGAGAUACGGCCCAGACUCCUACGGGAGGCAGCAGUGGGGAAUAUUGGGCAAUGGGCGAAAGCCUGACCCAGCAACGCCGCGUGAAGGAAGAAGGCCUUCGGGUUGUAAACUUCUUUUAUGAGGGACGAAGGAAGUGACGGUACCUCAUGAAUAAGCCACGGCUAACUACGUGCCAGCAGCUGC
RNAcentral lists this ribosomal RNA (492 nucleotides) under uncultured bacterium. RNAcentral's name for it is "bacterial SSU rRNA". It matches the Rfam family "Bacterial small subunit ribosomal RNA", at positions 26 to 518 of the family's 1533-position model. The record is from RNAcentral.